AGCGAACGCUGGCGGCGUGCCUAACACAUGCAAGUCGAACGUGAAAGGGAGCAAUCCCAAGUAAAGUGGCGUACGGGUGAGUAACACGUAGGUAAUCUACCCCAGAAUCUGGAAUAACCGGCCGAAAGGCUGGCUAAUACUGGAUAGAGCGACGGAAUCCGUAAUUGGGUUUUUCGGGAAAGGGAGCCUGUAAAAAGGCCUUCGUUCUGGGAUGAGCCUGCGUCCCAUCAGCUAGUUGGUGAGGUAAAAGCUUACCAAGGCAAUGACGGGUAGCUGGUCUGAGAGGACGAUCAGCCACACUGGAACUGAAACACGGGCCAGACUCCUACGGGAGGCAGCAGUGGGGAAUCUUGCGCAAUGGACGAAAGGCUGACGCGGCAACGCCGCGUGAGUGAAGAAGGCCGUCGGGUUGUAAAGCUCUGUCGAGUGGGACGAAAAUGCUUGGAGUUCACAGCUCCAGGAACUGACGGUACCACUAAAGGAAGCACCGGCUAACUCCGUG
RNAcentral lists this ribosomal RNA (502 nucleotides) under uncultured bacterium. Its description in RNAcentral is "partial 16S ribosomal RNA". It matches the Rfam family "Bacterial small subunit ribosomal RNA", at positions 29 to 507 of the family's 1533-position model. The record is from RNAcentral.